This 253-nucleotide ribosomal RNA is filed under the name uncultured bacterium. RNAcentral's name for it is "partial 16S ribosomal RNA". It matches the Rfam family "Bacterial small subunit ribosomal RNA", at positions 524 to 776 of the family's 1533-position model. The record is from RNAcentral.
UACGUAGGGUGCAAGCGUUGUCCGGAAUUAUUGGGCGUAAAGAGCUCGUAGGCGGUCUGUCGCGUCGGCUGUGAAAUCCCGGAGCUCAACUCCGGGUCUGCAGUCGAUACGGGCACACUGGAGUACUGCAGGGGAGACUGGAAUUCCUGGUGUAGCGGUGAAAUGCGCAGAUAUCAGGAGGAACACCGGUGGCGAAGGCGGGUCUCUGGGCAGUAACUGACGCUGAGGAGCGAAAGCGUGGGGAGCAAACAGG